GCCGGUGUAGCUCAGUUGGCUAGAGCAAUAAUCUUGUAAAUUAAAGGUCGAAGGUUCGAGUCCUUCCAUCGGCUCCA
This 77-nucleotide transfer RNA is filed under the name Megasphaera sp. ASD88. RNAcentral describes it as "tRNA-Thr". It matches the Rfam family "tRNA". From Rfam's summary of the family: Transfer RNA (tRNA) molecules are approximately 80 nucleotides in length. Their secondary structure includes four short double-helical elements and three loops (D, anti-codon, and T loops). Lineage: Bacteria; Bacillati; Bacillota; Negativicutes; Veillonellales; Veillonellaceae. The record is from RNAcentral.